GACAGAGGGUGCAAACGUUGUUCGGAAUUACUGGGCGUAAAGCGUGUGUAGGCUGCUACAUAAGUCGGAUGUGAAAGCCCCGGGCUCAACCCGGGAAGUGCACUCGAUACUGCGUAGCUUGUGUCUCGGAGAGGUUGGUGGAAUUCUCGGUGUAGAGGUGAAAUUCGUAGAUAUCGAGAGGAACACCGGUGGCGAAGGCGGCCAACUGGACGAAGACUGACGCUGAGACACGAAAGCGUGGGGAGCAAACAGG
RNAcentral lists this ribosomal RNA (253 nucleotides) under uncultured bacterium. RNAcentral's name for it is "partial 16S ribosomal RNA". It matches the Rfam family "Bacterial small subunit ribosomal RNA", at positions 524 to 776 of the family's 1533-position model. The record is from RNAcentral.